RNA transcript from Populus nigra (black poplar), 2678 nucleotides. It is a transcript of the gene named transcription factor bHLH121-like, with no coding region annotated. NCBI's taxonomy places the organism in Eukaryota, Viridiplantae, Streptophyta, Magnoliopsida, Malpighiales, Salicaceae. The transcript is spliced from 7 exons. The record is from RefSeq and is a predicted model, not a curated record.
CGGGUACGGCACGAACCAAUCCACGAAUAGAAACAAAAACGGCCAUACAUUGGAACAGCGGAUAAGCUAUUAAUUGUUUGGCGCCCUCACGGAAUUCACCAAUGGAUCCAUUCACUGACUUCAAUCCUCCGCCUCCUCCUCCUCCUCCUGACCCGAGUCACGUGCCACCCACUCGCCCCAGCCCCAAUCCCAAAUCCAGCGAGGCAGAGAUUAAAGAUAGUGUAUCUGCUAGGAAAAUUCAAAAGGCGGACCGAGAAAAAUUGAGGAGGGAUAGAUUGAAUGACCAUUUUGUUGAAUUGGGGAAUACCCUAGAUCCUGAUAGACCUAAAAAUGACAAAGCGACCAUUCUAGCUGACACAAUUCAGCUGCUGAAGGAUUUGACAUCUCAAGUUGACAAACUCAAGGCUGAGUAUGCUACACUGAGUGAAGAAUCUCUUGAGUUGACCCAAGAGAAAAAUGAUCUCAGAGAAGAGAAGGCAUCUCUUAAAUCGGAUAUUGAGAAUCUUAAUAUUCAGUGUCAGCAACGGCUCAGGGCUCCAUACCCAUGGCCUGCUAUGGAUCACUCAUUUAUGAUGGCCCCAACUUCAUAUCCCUUUCCCAUGCCAGUGCCAAUGCCUCCAGGGGCAAUUCCAUUGCAUUCAUCCAUACAGCCAUAUCCCUUUUUUGGAAAUCAGAAUCCUGCAGUCAUUCAUAACCCAUGUACAACUUUUGUUCCAUGUAUGGCCCCUAAUACCUUGGUUGAUCAGCAGUCCGCCCAGCAUGUUUCUUCUCUUUCACAGCCUGCCAGUCGAUCCCAUGUUUCAGGCGAACAAGAUCUGAAGAAUAAACCUUCAGGGGAGUGCAAGAUUGAGAAAAGCGAAGGUUCUAAUGAUGUUACCACGGACCUUGAAUUGAAGACUCCAGGAUCUACAGCAGAUCAGGAUUUAUCUUCAGGAGAAAGAAAGUCCAAAAAAUCCCAGAGGAAGGAAAGCAGUGUUACAGAAAGGAGUUCUUCAAGUAGGUGUUCUUCCUCUCACAGUGUACAGGAUAGCUCAUCCAACAGUGUUGUUGACAGCACAAAGCACGAUGAUUUAGACAAGUUAGAAUGAGCACAAGGAGAGUCAGAUGCUUCUAUUAAUAUGAGCACACCUUGGGGAGUUCUCCCUGUGUGAAGCUUCCAGGGAUGGUGCUUGGGAUCAUCUUUGCCAUUUUGUUUUGUUUUUAAGGACAAGAACAAUCCUUAGGUGCGGUUAAAACCUAAUUUUUGCAACUUUGACAGUGUCUCCAAUGUGGCUGUGAUAUUCUUACUUGGACAUAUGCAUGCCUUUUGGCUUGGAAACCAAUGGAGUGCGCGGUGACUAGUGUCUCAGGUUCGGAGCUAAUGUUCCUAGCUUACUUGAUCACCGAUGCGCUGGUGUUUAUAAAAAGACAGAAGGGCAAUGGGAGAAAGGGCUGUCUGGGUUAGGGAGAAUUGUGAUGACAGUUUAAUAAUGGGCGAGGAUAAAGCACAGUACCAGGAAUUCUGCUAGCCUGCUAGCGGGUCUCAAGAUCUGACAAGAGACUUUAUGAAUAAAAAGACUGUGUUACCCUGACAAUCUGACAAGAGACUUUAUGAAUAAAAAGACUGUGUUACCCUGACAAUGGGGCAACUACGGGCCAAUUCUUAGAAGAAAAAUAUCCAGUAGGCUUCAAGUUAGGAUACCUCGUGCAGAGAGCCCGAGGACCCCAGUCACCAUCAUCGAGUGCUGAAAUGGACUUUACUGUAUCCUCACUCCAUGUCGCUGAUACAGAUGUGUCUGUCUGUGGUUAAACUUGAGUAUUACUACCAUUCCCGAGGAGGAGAUUUGUUGUCAGUAUAAUUAAUUCUAAGAUUCGAAGCUUGGAAUCCCAGCUAGCCUUUCGAGAGAGGGAGGUCUCCUACUUGAACCAAAAUCUGAAUCCCAGCUAGCCUUCAAGUUGGAAUGAUUGUUGAUAUGCCUCAAGCCUCCACUGUAUAAAUCUAAUCCUUGCUAAAAAUCAUUCCGGUUCCACCAUUGUCACUUUCCAAAUGCUAGCAGGAGCACCGUGUUACCAGGUAGUGGUUGUGUAUUAUUGUCUAAUAUCUAUCUACUUAUCUUAAUUAACUUUAAUGUUGGAUAAGGAUACACACCGACCCGGUUAGAUCUUUUUGCCAAUGAUGCGCAACAGAGCGAGGGUAUGUUGGAAAUGAAGCUGGUCUAGUAUCUUCCAUCUUGAGAGUUGAAACCGAUGUUUGCUUUAAGAUAGUGCUUUGUCGGUUUGGACUUUUUUGUCGAGAAAUUGCUUGAAGCAAAGACAGAAACAGGAGGCAAAUAGGAUCUCAUUGUCUCAACCGUCUCAACUGUUUUUCUUGGAUUUCUGCUGAAACUUCAACAAGGGUGGGGUCGCUUGCCCUUUUUUUCUGCUAGCACGACUCUUCCUGUAUGUGGCAGAACCUUCUUGGACUCCACUGCCCCUCCCUGCUGCUACCUGAGAUUUUAGACACCAUGAUAUUUUAGCCUAGCGCACAGCACUCACUUUCUACCCUGAAUGACGAGGAAUUAUGGUUUAAUCUUUCAUGUUCCAGGGGAAGGAUGUCAUGUUCCCAAUUCCUCAAACCCUGCAACCAUGCUAUCGAAGAUUCCCAUUUCCCCUUAACAUUAAACUAUGGUUAAACUUAAACUAGCCAUUUAACCCGUGUU